UACGUAGGUGGCGAGCGUUGUCCGGAUUUACUGGGCGUAAAGGGAGCGUAGGCGGACUUUUAAGUGAGAUGUGAAAUACUCGGGCUCAACUUGAGUGCUGCAUUUCAAACUGGAAGUCUAGAGUGCAGGAGAGGAGAAUGGAAUUCCUAGUGUAGCGGUGAAGUGCGUAGAGAUUAGGAAGAACACCAGUGGCGAAGGCGAUUCUCUGGACUGUGACUGACGCUGAGGCUCGAAAGCGUGGGGAGCAAACAGG
This 253-nucleotide ribosomal RNA is filed under the name uncultured bacterium. RNAcentral's name for it is "partial 16S ribosomal RNA". It matches the Rfam family "Bacterial small subunit ribosomal RNA", at positions 524 to 776 of the family's 1533-position model. The record is from RNAcentral.